UAAACUCCAAACCGAUCAGUUGUGGAAGGUUAGUCAUUAACAAAAGAAAAAUUAAAAUUAAAAUUGAGGAACACUGGUAAAUGGUUGGGGUUUAGAACGCAAACUGAGGAAUCCCCUUCCAUAUCUUCGGCUCGAUCUCCUCUCUCGAGUCUCCAUCCUCUUAUGUCGCCAUAUUCGUUAUCUCCGCCCGUCGUCAUCGUCUCGGCAACCGACGUAUCUACUAUGGUUGGGGUUAGAAGUUUAGAACGCACACAGGCGCACAGAUGAAUUAUUCUGUUUAAAUCCCUUUCCAUCUCUCCGACUCGAUCUCCUCUCUCGAGUCUCGAUCCUCUCCGUUACUCCGUCGUCGUCAUCGUCUUGACAACCGAUUCAUCAGCAGGUAGUGUUCUUUUCUUACUCGCCGCCUUCUUUAACUCCAAUCCGAACACUAAAUCUAAAUUUCUACUAGAUUGAGUUUUCGUAUCGAGUAGUUAGUUCCUGUUUGAUUUGAUUUGAAUUUCAAUAAGAUUUUCCUUUAUAUUUGUUUCUUCAUGAUUUUUUCGUCUUUAAUUUGACUUUUUUUAGGUAUUUAUUGGUGGUUGUUCUGAUUUUAGGUUUUUGUAUUAGGUAUUUCUAUCCUAAAUUGGUUUUUAGUAUAUUCUCCUCAUUUAGUCCAUUGGUUGUUGUUUAAUUUGCUAAGGGCACCAACUUGAAGUUUUUGGUACUCGCAACAAUGUUGUUCGUUGAGUUCCCUAAGGAACCACAAUGAGUCAUUGAGAUGUGAACAAUUUAACCCCUCAUUCUUGAAACAACACUUUGCUUAGCUAAUCUAGGUCUCAGGUUGAUAAUUGGUAAGCAUGGACAAAUAGAUAUUAGGACUUAAGAGACCAACAUAAUUAAAGGGAGUUAAAAGAAGCUCACCCCAUCUGUUGCCAAUAUGGAAAAUCGAUCUCUAUUUAGUAUGAAAAAUAACAAAGAUAACAUUACAAGAGAGGUAGAGAGCUCUAACGUGGUAAGUUACGCUUUGAGUGAUCAAGUCAAUUGUUAGUUAAACUGGCACCAACUUUCCAUUUUCACAUGUUGUUGUUAGCACUGCAGGAGAGUCUCCAACAUUAUUUAUAGUGUGGAGUUCCUUGAGUUUACUGGAUAUAACAUUCAGAGACGUAUGUAUUUUAUGCACAAGACACUAAGACAUCGAAUAGACGAGUGGGAGCUUGUAUGUCUAGUAAAUUAGUAGCAUCCUUGUGUUUUAGGAUUUGUUGAUUUCUAAUUUCUCAUUCCCUAAUUUUAGAGGAUUAAAAACUCUAAGUAGGAGAAAUAAUUAUUGUCUAGGAUAAUCUUGUUUUUCUUUGUUUGUAAUGCCUAUAGAUAUUGCAUAAAUUUUUGUUCUUGCUAAUUUUGUAACUUUUCCCUAAAACCUUAUACACAGGCUCUUGAAUAUCAAAAGAAAAUUUGUACGUUCUUGGUGAAUACUGAAUAGUGCUAGCUUCCAUAGCUGCUUACUGUCUUUGGUUCUGUCAUAUCGGAUUAGGUACACGGCUUUUUGGCAGAUAUUAUUUAACAAAUAACUUUCUAGUUUAAAUGAAAUGUGAGCUGACUUAGAUGCCCCAGAAAUAAACUCAAACCAAUUGGCAAUUUUACUAUCCCUUUCAUUUAUUUCAUAUUCUCCCGACUGUUUUAAUCAUUAAGGAAAAGGCUUUUCAUUGCUUCUAGAUAAUUCAAAGGACCUGUUUGAGAGUGCAACCAGGCUUUAAGAAGGUAAACUUUUCUUUUCCAUUUUUUUUAUGUACUGGGUUACCUGGUUGUUUGUUUUCAGGUCAGGCAAGAGGUUAAAUGCAUAGCUCCGUUUAGCACUUUUGGUUUUGGCUUUCAUUUUGUAUUAAAUGAAUCCAUCUCAGUAAUUUCAGUACUAAUAUAGUCAUAUGUGUGUAGGUUAUUUAUAAAAAAUUAUUGGAUUUAAAUGUGUUGCUGUAUGUAGGAAUCAUUCAAUUGAUGUCACUCAAUGUAAAUACCUCUUACAAACUUGCAAUUUUCUUCAAACAGAAUGGUCUUUGAUUUUGCGAAGUUUUACUUUUCUGCAUUUCUCGCCAGUGGCUAACUUUGAUGAUUUGAGACCAUGAUGCAUGGAAUUCCUAUGACUACGAGUGAAGAGAAAGAAAGCCCUAAAGCCUGCAAUUAAGCUUGGAGGUGAUUUUCAGUAUGUGUUAAAUGUUAAUGGGUCCACUCCUGCUGAAGUAUUGGGCAUAAACUAUAAAUCUACACUUAAGCCUGCAAUCAGCGCAUAUGCUGAUGAGACUAAGAAAAGUGCUACCACAAUGUUGGAAGAGAUUAUUGCCCUAAAAUCACAAUCUAAAGAACUGACUACCAGGAUUGAAGCAAUGAUGCAACGUCUUGCAGUACUUCAGUUGCAAAUUGAUGAGGAUCACGAUGAUGGAUUGGAUCGGAUAGCAAAUGAAGAUUAAAAUUGACAAUGAGAAUCAUGCGCACGUAAGGGAAACCAGUUGAAGAUGAAAAGAUAGAAGACAUUUAGUUUUGGAUUAUACAUUUUAGUUUUGGAUAUGAUCAUUUGUUUUUAUUUUGAACAUAAUAAUGUAAUGUUCAUAGAUCGUACAUCAAAUACUAUUAUUUUAAUUUGUUAGGGAGCGGGUGUGCUCCCUUCCUUUAGUUGUUUCCUUGUUUGGAACUUAUUUUGUGUACGUACUAUCUUUUGAUAAUAAAAUUGCUAUUUUACCAAAAGAAA
Long non-coding RNA from Spinacia oleracea (spinach), 2719 nucleotides. RefSeq lists it as uncharacterized. The transcript has 3 exons. The record is from RefSeq and is a predicted model, not a curated record. Lineage: Eukaryota; Viridiplantae; Streptophyta; Magnoliopsida; Caryophyllales; Amaranthaceae.